This is a non-coding RNA of Callorhinus ursinus (northern fur seal), 473 nucleotides long. NCBI's taxonomy places the organism in Eukaryota, Metazoa, Chordata, Mammalia, Carnivora, Otariidae. The record is from RefSeq and is a predicted model, not a curated record.
AAUGAGGAAAGCCAAACACAGAUAGAAUGCUAUGUCCCAGCCAGGGAAGUAUCCAAUGGCCAGCCUUCAGAGUACAGUCAGUGUGAUGUUUUGCCCAGAGACUGUUGUUAUCCCAAAAGAGAAGGAAUGUGUGGUGCUAUUAGAAAUGAAUAUGUCAAGCUAUAGUCAAGCACCAGGAGAUAAAUAGGAUCUGUCAUAUACUUGAGAGGAUUUUACUUCACUUCUGUGUAUAUUCUCUUGUCCAGCUCCUAAACUUCCUUUGUGGCAUUUGCCAUCUGUCAUUAAGAAGAUGAUGCUGAUGUACAAGAUGCGAUCUAUAGAGAAGAGCCUUAUUUCUAAAAGCUCUUGGGAAGAUAUUUAUUGAGAAAACACCCUCUCUAUUUUCUUCUCCAGUUAUAAGUUCUUGCACCCUGAUUCAUUGUGCAGCUCCAAAUUAAAAAGAGUUCUCAGGGCACCUGGGUGGCUCAGUCGGU